CCCAGUGGGGAAUCAGAGGAGGGGGAAUGGGACAGGAGAGUGUGAAGUCCCUGGAAGCAUAGACUGGAAGGUCAACAAGGCCAAAGAGGGGGAUGGGGAGAAAGGCAUGAAGCUCCUUCCCUGGCAGAUGGCAAGUGGAAAGGCAUCACAGACGUUUUCCCCAGAAAAUACCAGGCCCAGGAUUCAGUAGCCUUGAAGACAGAAGCCCUCCCUUCUUCAUUUGCCUGGUGGUCUCCUCUUGUGCACUCACAGUCACUGGACAAGACCCAAAGACAUGCUGAUCAUGUGCUCCGAUCCGAAGACAUGAGGCCCCUCAUGUGGUAGGAAGAGCCCAGCUUUGCAGCUGCACUCCUAGGUCACUCCUGGCUCUGUCAUUUCCUAUCGUAUAACUAUAGGCAGAUGACAGAGCCUCUUUUUGCCUUGCUUUCCUUAUCUGUGAGAUGGAAUUCUCAUGCUUACCUUGCCGUGCUGCUGUGAUGGUUGAAUGAGAUCAUUUGUUCAUCCGACAAACACUAAGCAUCUACUCUGUGCCGGGAAUUGGGCUAGAUGUUGUGCAGGGCAAUAAAUAAAAAGAAUGUA
This is a long non-coding RNA of Canis lupus familiaris (dog), 579 nucleotides long. RefSeq lists it as uncharacterized. The transcript is spliced from 3 exons. The record is from RefSeq and is a predicted model, not a curated record. NCBI's taxonomy places the organism in Eukaryota, Metazoa, Chordata, Mammalia, Carnivora, Canidae.